AUUGAAGGUGAGUUCACUAUCUUCACAGUGGUAUGUCAAAGCCAGGUCAUUUUUUCCCACAGGCUUUUAGUGCCUGGUCUGUAUCAGGAGACAGAAUCUUGACAACUAGGAUAUUUUUCUAUGGGAGCUCAAAUCUGUUUAGCAUAGUCUUCUUCACAUGCUCAGAAGUUCUCGUAGAGAAGAGUCUUGGUCCAGCAUUCACUCCCAACCCAUAACCAUUGCCCAUCAGGAAUUC
RNAcentral lists this long non-coding RNA (235 nucleotides) under Mus musculus (house mouse). RNAcentral describes it as "predicted gene 29406". Lineage: Eukaryota; Metazoa; Chordata; Mammalia; Rodentia; Muridae. The record is from RNAcentral.